CCUACGGGAGGCAGCAGUAGGGAAUCUUCCACAAUGGGCGAAAGCCUGAUGGAGCAACGCCGCGUGGGUGAAGAAGGUCUUCGGAUCGUAAAACCCUGUUGUUAGAGAAGAAAGUGCGUGAGAGUAACUGUUCACGUUUCGACGGUAUCUAACCAGAAAGCCACGGCUAACUACGUGCCAGCAGCCGCGGUAAUACGUAGGUGGCAAGUGUUAUCCGGAUUUAUUGGGCGUAAAGGGAACGCAGGCGGUCUUUUAAGUCUGAUGUGAAAGCCUUCGGCUUAACCGGAGUAGUGCAUUGGAAACUGGGAGACUUGAGUGCAGAAGAGGAGAGUGGAACUCCAUGUGUAGCGGUGAAAUGCGUAGAUAUAUGGAAGAACACCAGUGGCGAAAGCGGCUUUCUGGUCUGUAACUGACGCUGAGGUUCGAAAGCGUGGGUAGCAAACAGGAUUAGAUACCCUUGUAGUC
RNAcentral lists this ribosomal RNA (465 nucleotides) under uncultured bacterium. Its description in RNAcentral is "partial 16S ribosomal RNA". It matches the Rfam family "Bacterial small subunit ribosomal RNA", at positions 338 to 795 of the family's 1533-position model. The record is from RNAcentral.